CCACUUCUGCUGCUGCUGCUAACCUAAAAACGCUUACCUCCCCAACUGAACUCUUAAUUACUACUUCUCAUCCUCCACAAACUAUUCUCUCAUCAAAAUUUCUUUCCUUGUCUUCAAAACCCAAUACCCAUAUUGAGAUAAGCUCUAACAAGAAUAAGAUUUAUGAUGCUGUUGAUUCUUGGAAAUGGAGGGCCAGAGUUUCCUUCUUUCAGGGUCUUUUGAAAAAAGAUUAAGAUGUUAAUAGCCUUAAAGAAGAAUUAUUCGAGGCUAUAGCUCCUCUUGAUCGUGGGGCUAAGGCUACGCCUAAGGAUCAAGAACGAGUUGAUGAGGUUAGAGCUUGAUCUUGAUUAAUUUUCCUUUAAUUAUCAUUAAUUUGAUCCGAUUAUGGAUUAUGCGUUUUGAUCAGAUUGCUCGUAAACUUGAGGCAGUGAACAAGGUAAAGGAGCCUUUGAAGUCUAAUUUGCUGAAUGGAAAAUGGGAGCUCAUAUAUACAACAUUUCAAUCAGUUCUUCAAACAAAGGUUAUUGCUCUGUUCUCUCUCUGUUUAUUUUCCUGCUGUACAUGUUUAACUGAUCUGUAACUGGCGAACUCAAUCUUUCUAACAGAUACUUGUUUCAUAAUUAGUAAUGAUUUGAUUCUAAAUUUAGAUGCAUUUGGCAUGUUAAGAGAAAGGAAAAUAAGAUUAAUUACAGAACCUGUAAUUAACUAUUGUAUGUAAUGUUCUUGAAACAGAGGCCAAAGUUGUUAAGACCAAAUGGAAAAAUCUACCAAGCAAUUAAUAUUGAUACUCUUAAGAUCUCAAAACAUGGAAACUUGGCCAUUCUUUAAUCAGGUACUUCUUCUUAAUUCUUAUCAAGUAUCUGCAAAAUAUUUCAAUUUUAGUUGCUAGUUUUUCGAGUGAAAAUACGCAAUGUAUUCAUAAAUCUUAGCUUGGAAAAAAAAAUGGCAAGCAACCAUACGACAAUAUGCGGUGGGACCCACACGUGUUGAAAAUAAAUAAAAAGGGCAAACUUAUGGGUCCUAGUGGAACCCAUGAUCUUUGACAAUAGAAAGGAAAAGAGAGAAGGAAAUUCGGCGUACGCGUUAUAUUUUUCGGUGGACGCGUUAUCCUUCUCCUAUAAAUAGGAGAGAGGAUCCAAUGCUUCAAAACACACGAGCAAAAAAUAAAUAAAUAAAAGAGAUUUUUAGAGAGUUCUUCAAGUUUUAGAAAGUGUUCUAAAACUAGUAUAGAGAAAAAUAAUGAAGAUAAUUUUGAGGUGUUUUUGGAAAACACUUUUGAGUGCCACUAUUUUAUAUUACUCUCUUUGUGUACUUACUAUUUUUUUUAGUGCAAGAAAUAUUUAAAUUGGUCCCGUGGACGUAACCCUAAACAGUUAAGGGUGAACCACGUAAAUUUUUUUUUCAUAUUUUUAUUUUUUCGUUGCAUAAUUAUUCUCGUAACUUUUAUCACCGGGCCCUAACAAGUGGUAUCAGAGUUGAAGGUUUCAACAGAUCUAGCCAAGUAGACAGCGGUACCGGAUCCGUAGAUAUAUUUUGAAAAUAAGUAUACCACAAUGACGAGAAAAUAACGACGAAUCCAUUUGUGCAGUUCAUUUAAAAAGACGUUGCAGAAUCAACCUAGUGAUGAAUAGUGAGAUAGUAACUCAAAAUUGGUGGUGAACAGUACUAUUGGCGUUACUGUUGAUAAAUCCAUCACUAUUAAGCCCAGCACUAUUCACACAUAGUACUAUUUACAGGUACUAUUCACGCAUACAGAUACUGUUUACGUAUACUGUUACUAUUCACAUAUACUACUAUCACGUAUAUGGUUUCUAGUGAUGAUAAUAUUCCGCACAAGUCAAAAAUGGACGAUAGAACAACAGGCACAAUGGUUAGACUCAACUCAUCAAACUAUGCAGUAUGGAAGAUAUUAAUGGAAGAUCUUCUAUGCUGCAAAGUUCUCUUUGAAACAAUUGAGUUGAAAGUAGUUAGACCAACUUCAAUAAAUGAGACCGGUCGACUAACAGAAAAGCAGUCGCAACCGUCAGGCAGUCUGUUGAAUGAGCAUCGUAAAUCAUAUCGCUCAUGAGAAAGAUGCCUAUUCAAUUUGGAAGAAGUUGGAGGACAUGUAUGAACGGAAGAAUGCCCAGAACAAAGCUUUUUUAAUCAUAAAGCUUAUAAAUCUGAAGUACAGAGAUGGCGAAAGUGCUUCAGAUCACUUGGGAAAAUUUCAAGAAAUUUUGAACCAACUGACGACGUCAAAAAUAGUGCUAGAAGACCAGUGCAAGCACUAUUCUUAUUGAGUUCCUUGCCGGACAGUUGGGAGACACUGACUGUUACGCUCAGUAAUGUGUCAGAGGGGAAUCUGACNNNNNNNNNNNNNNNNNNNNNNNNNNNNNNNNNNNNNNNNNNNNNNNNNNUACAAGUAGCAACUCAGAUGCACUCGUUACAGUUACAGAAAGGAGGGGGAGAAGCAAAACCAGAUAUCCCAUAAAUCCAAACAAACAUGAAAAUUCACGGAGAAGAUCCAAGUCAAGAAAAGGUGUCACUUGCUAUCAUUGUGGCAAGCCCGAUCACAUCCAAAGGCACUGCAGAAAAUGGAAGAAGGAACGAGCCAAAGAAAAUGAUGAGGAAAAGAAAGACGAUACGGAGGUAGCUUCAAUAACUAUUGAUGUUGACGCACUUGGUGAUGGUAGUGCGCUGAUUUCUCAUGCUCAUCUCAGUGAGUGUUCUACUAGUCAACAAUCUCUUUGGAUUAUUGACUCUGCCUGUUCAUAUCAUAUUUCUUCAAAGAAGAAAUAUUUUUCAUCACUUACUCUCGGAGAUUAAGGCCAUGUCAAGACUUUGAAUGGCACAUAUGUGGAAAAUUGCGGCAUUGGAACAGUAUGCNNNNNNNNNNNNNNNNNNNNNNNNNNNNNNNNNNNNNNNNNNNNNNNNNNNNNNNNNNNNNNNNNNNNNNNNNNNNNNNNNNNNNNNNNNNNNNNNNNNNNNNNNNNNNNNNNNNNNNNNNNNNNNNNNNNNNNNNNNNNNNNNNNNNNNNNNNNNNNNNNNNNNNNNNNUUCAACACCCUCUACUAAACCCAGGUCAAAGUUUGCGCAAGAGUGGUGAAUGCAUUUGAAAAUUCAUCUGCUGAGUUGUGGCACAAACGACUUGGUCGUUUGAGUGAGAAAGGAAUGGAGACUCUCACCAAGAAGAAAAUGCUAUCUUUGAAAGGUUUGCCUUUAAAAAUAUGCGCUGAUUGUUUGUCUGGUAAACAACAUAGAGUUUCCUUUCAAAGAUCCUCUUCUCCUUCUAGAAAGCCUGGUAUUCUAGAAUUGGUACACACUAAUGUUUGCUCAAUGGGUGACAAAUCCUUGAGUGGUUGCUCAUAUUACGUCAGCUUUAUUGAUGACCAUUCUAGAAAGGUGUGGGCCUUACCAUUAAAGUCAAAAGACCAGGUGCUGAUAUGUUUAAAGUCUUUCAUGUCACUGUUGAAAGACAAACAGGAAGAAAGUUGAUAUGUGUUAGAGCUGAUAAUGGUGGUGAGUACAAAGGACCAUUUGAGAAGUAUUGCUCAGAACACGGCAUCAGACUUCAGAAGACAGUUUUCAAAACUCCACAACAGAAUGGAGUUGCAGAGAGAAUGAACAGGACCACUGUUGAAAGGAUUAGAUGUAUGCUCUCUUAUGCUAAACUUCCGAAAGCGCAUACGGUAACUAUUUACGUAUACCACUAUUCUGAAAACUGCAGUACUCAUUGCUUCAGCCCAAAAGGUUUUUGGAAGUUUGGCAUGAGAGAGCAUACAUCUAAUCCUUUCAACAGUGGUCCUGUUCAUUCUCUCUACAACUCCAUUCUGUUGUGGAGUUUUGGGAACUGUCUUCUGAAGUCUGAUGCCGUGUUCUGAGCAAUACUUCUCAAAUGAUCUUCUGUACUCACCACCAUUAUCAGCUCUAACACAUAUCAACUUUCUUCCCGUUUGUCUUUCAACAAUGACAUGAAAGACUUUAAACAUAUCCAAUACCUGGUCUUUUGACUUUAAUGGUAAAGCCCACACCUUUCUAGAAUGGUCAUCAAUAAAGCUGACGUAAUAUGAGCAACCACUCAAGGAUUUGUCACCCAUUGAGCAAACAUUAGUGUGUACCAAUUCUAGAAUACCAAGCUUUCUAGAAGGAGAAGGGGAUCUUUGAAACUCUAUGUUGUUUACCAGACAAACAAUCAGCGCAUAUUUUUAAAGGCAAACCUUUCAAAGAUAGCAUUUUCUUCUUGGUGAGAGUCUCCAUUCCUUUCUCACUCAAACGACCAAGUUGUUUGUGCCACAACUCAGCAGAUGAAUUUUCAAAUGCAUUCACCACUCUUGUGCAAACUUUUGCCUGGGUGUAGUAGAGGGUGUUGAACUUUCUCUCUCUUCUGAACACCAAAUUACCUUUGGAAAGCUUCCACGUCCUGUUAACAAAUAGAUUUGCAUAGCCCAAUUCAUCAAGACAAUGAACUGAGAUCAGAUUGAAAUUUGUCGUAGGAGUGUAUCUCACAUCUUCCAACUANNNNNNNNNNNNNNNNNNNNNNNNNNNNNNNNNUUCCAAUGCCGCAAUUUUUCACAUAUGUGCCAUUCAAAGUCUUGACAUGGCCUUAAUCUCCGAGAGUAAGUGAUGAAAAAUAUUUCUUCUUUGAAGAAAUAUGAUAUGAACAGGCAGAGUCAAUAAUCCAAAGAGAUUGUUGACUAGUAAAACACUCACUGAGACGAGCAUGAGAAAUCAGCGCACUACCAUCAUCAAGUGCGUCAACAUCAAUAGCUACUGAAGCUACCUCCGUAUCGUCUUUCUUUUCCUCAUCAUUUUCUUUGGCUCGUUCCUUCUUCCAUUUUCUGCAGUGCCUUUGGAUGUGACCGGGCUUGCCACAAUGAUAGCAAGUGACACCUUUUCUUGACUUGGAUCUUCUCCGUGAAUUUUCAAGUUUGUUUGGAUUUAUGGGAUAUCUGGUUUUGCUUCUCCCCCUCCUUUCUGUAACUGUAACGAGUGCAUCUGAGUUGCUACUUGUACCAUUCUCCUUAGGUCUAUUUUCUUCAUUCAGAAUACUUUCUUUAACUGUGGUUAAGGUCAGAUUCCCUUCUGACAUAUUACUAAGCGUGACAAUCAGCGUCUCUCAACUGUCCGGCAAGGAACUCAAUAAGAAUAGUGCCUGCACCUAGUCGUCAAACACUAUUUUUGACGUCGUCAGUUGGUUCAAAAUUUCUUGAAAUUUUCCCAAGUGAUCUGAAGCACUUUCGCCAUCUCUGUACUUCAGAUUUACAAGCUUUAUGAUUAAAAAAGCUUUGUUCUGGGCAUUCUUCCGUUCAUACAUGUCCUUCCAACUUCUUCCAAAUUGAAUAGGCAUCUUUCUCAUGAGCGAUAUGAUUUACGAUGCUCAUUUCAACAGACUGCCUGAUGGUUGCGACUGCUUUUCUGUUAGUCGACUUCAAAUCGGUCUCAUUUAUUGAAGUUGGUCUGACUGCUUUUAACUCAAUUGUUUCAAAGAGAUCUUUGCAGCAUAGAAGAUCUUCCAUUAAUAUUUUCCAUACUGCAUAGUUUGAUGAGUUGAGUCUAACCAUUGUGUCUGUUGUUCUAUCAUCCAUUUUUGACUUGUGCAGAAUAUUAUCACCAACAGAAACCGUAUACGUGAAUAGUAGUAUAUGUGAAUAGUAACAGUAUACGUAAACAGUACAUACAUGCGUGAAUAAUAACUGUAAAUAGUACUAUGCGUGAAUAAUGCUGGGCUUAAGAGUGAUGAGUUCAGCAACAGUAAUGACAAUAGUACUAUUCACCAUCAAUUUUGAGUUACUAUUUUAUUAUUCAUCACUAGGUUGAUUCUGCAACGUCUUUUUUUUAACGGACUGCACCAAUGGAUUCGUCGUAAUUUUCUCGUCGUUGUGGUAUAUUUAUUUUCAAAAUAUAUCCACGGAUCCGGUACUGCUGGCUGGAUAUGUUUAAACCUUCAACUCUGAUACCACUUGUUAGGGACCGGUGAUAAAAAUUAUGAGAAUAAGUAUGCAAUGGAAAAAUAAAAAUAUGACAUACAAAAAUUUACGUGGUUCACCCUUAACUGUUUAGGACUACGUCCACGGGACUUCCAAAUAUUUCUUCCACUAAAAAAAUAGUAAGUACACAAAGAAAGCAAUACAAUAUAGUGGCACUCAAAAGUGUUUCUCGAAAAAACUCCAAAUUAUCCUCACUAUUUUUCUUUACCCUAGUUUUAGAACACUUUCUAAAACUUGAAGAACUCUCUAAAAAUCUCUCUUAUUUUUUUUUCUUUUGCUCUUGUGUGUCUUAAAGCAUUGCAUCCUCUCUUAUUUGUAGGAGAAGGACAACGCAUCCACCGAAAAAUAUAACACCGUCUACCGAAUUUCCUUUUCUUUUUUUCUUUUUAUUGUCAAAGCUUGUGAGUCUUACAAGGAUCCAUAUUUUUCCCUUUUUUUAUUUACUUAUUUUCAACAUGUGUGGGUCCUAAUGAGUGGCACCACACAACAAAUUGGUAUCAGAGCACAAAUAUCAACAAUUUUUCACCUUGAUUCAUUUUCAUGUAAAAAUUCCCAAUUUUCCAUAUUAUAUAGACACGUGCCUAAAAACAGUGGACUAAGCUCCAUAUCCGCAAAUUGAGAAAAAACGAACUUUCAAAAAGAAUAAAAAAUCAAAAGGUUCUACUGCUCCACCACCACUAAUGGCCGCCACCGCUUCUGCUGCUAACCUAAAAACACUUAUCUCCCCAACUGAACUCUUAAUUACUACUUCUCAUCCUCCACAAACUAUUCUCUCAUCAAAAUUUAUUUCCUUGUCUUCAAAACCCAAUACCCACACUGAGAUAAGCUCUAACAAGAAUAAGAUUUAUGAUGCUGUUGAUUCUUGGAAAUGGAGGACCAGAGUUUCCUUCUUUCAGGGUCUUUUGAAAAAAGGUAAAGAUGUUAAUAGCCUUAAAGAAGAACUAUUCGAGGCUAUAGCUCCUCUUGAUCGUGGGGCUAAGGCUACACCUAAGGAUCAAGAACGAGUUGAUGAGAUUAGAGCUUGAUCUUGAUUAAUUUACCUUUAAUUAUCAUUAAUUUGAUCAGAUUAUGGAUUAUGCGUUUUGAUCAGAUUGCUCGUAAACUUGAGGCAGUGAACAAAGUAAAGGAGCCUUUGAAGUCUAAUUUGCUGAAUG
This 7122-nucleotide long non-coding RNA is filed under the name Jatropha curcas. Its description in RNAcentral is "long non-coding RNA (JCUR_LNC001169)". The record is from RNAcentral. Lineage: Eukaryota; Viridiplantae; Streptophyta; Magnoliopsida; Malpighiales; Euphorbiaceae.